Molecule: long non-coding RNA, 438 nt
Organism: Mustela lutreola (European mink)
Lineage: Eukaryota; Metazoa; Chordata; Mammalia; Carnivora; Mustelidae
Exons: 3
Source: RefSeq, a predicted model, not a curated record
GCCAACCUCCAGCUGCCCGGCCCAGAGAACUAGGUUUGCAUCUGCGGUGCCUGUGGGGCGUGCACAGAAGGGAGAGGGAUUCUGCAAGACCUAGGAGAAGGAAGUGGUGUGCCACAGCCCCCCACCACCGCCUUACCUGAACGAAAGAGAGGCUCGGAGAGGUUAAUAAGUGGCCCAAGACCACAGAGCCCUGACGUUCUGCUCCUGAGUCAUCCCUUCUCCGGUUCACGGUUCAGGUUCACGGGGGACUCACCCGGCCCAACGCCAAGGUACUGACCACACUGCCAGGCACCACGUCCUGUCCCAGACCUCGUCUGGAGGCCGGGACAGAAGGAGGUGGCUUCCCUGCACCGCCAGCCGCCACGUGGGCUCUGGCCCGCCGCCCCCGCCCCACUCACAUGCACGUAAAGCGCAGCGCGCGAGACCGGGGGCCCACGA